GUUGUUUUGGCAGAAAAAAUGUAAUAAAUUUAGGAUUUAUAAAUGUAAUUAAUUUACAAACAACA
RNAcentral lists this transfer RNA (65 nucleotides) under Trachypeplus jacobsoni. Its description in RNAcentral is "tRNA-Leu". The record is from RNAcentral. Lineage: Eukaryota; Metazoa; Arthropoda; Insecta; Hemiptera; Tingidae.